UGGAUGAUCUGCCUUUUAGUGGGGAAUACCGUUGGGAAACCGACGACAAUACCGCAUAAGCCCCUUUUUUAAAGAGAAGCGGGGAAAGCAGCAAUGCGCUGAAAGAGGAGUCCGCGGUCGAUUAGGUAGUUGGCAGGGUAAAAGCCUACCAAGCCUGUGAUCGAUAGCCGGCCUGAGAGGGCACACGGCCACACUGGCACUGAAACACGGGCCAG
This 215-nucleotide ribosomal RNA is filed under the name uncultured bacterium. RNAcentral's name for it is "partial 16S ribosomal RNA". It matches the Rfam family "Bacterial small subunit ribosomal RNA", at positions 118 to 334 of the family's 1533-position model. The record is from RNAcentral.